UCCCUGAUGGUCCAGUGGUUAGGGCUCUGCACUUCCACUGCAGGGGACACAGGUUUGAUCCCUGGUCAGGAAC
RNAcentral lists this transfer RNA (73 nucleotides) under Bos taurus (domestic cattle). It matches the Rfam family "tRNA". From Rfam's summary of the family: Transfer RNA (tRNA) molecules are approximately 80 nucleotides in length. Their secondary structure includes four short double-helical elements and three loops (D, anti-codon, and T loops). Lineage: Eukaryota; Metazoa; Chordata; Mammalia; Artiodactyla; Bovidae. The record is from Rfam by way of RNAcentral. RNAcentral also lists the same sequence under 3 other names.